RNAcentral lists this long non-coding RNA (993 nucleotides) under Marmota monax (woodchuck). The record is from RNAcentral. Lineage: Eukaryota; Metazoa; Chordata; Mammalia; Rodentia; Sciuridae.
GCAAGAACCACCACACCCAGGUGUGUUUUGUAUUUUAAAUAAAAUACAUUCUGGCUACAUUUCAUGGUGUCUGCCUGUAAUUCCAGUGACUUGGGAGGCUGAGGCAGGAAGAUGGCAAGUUCAGAGCCUGCCUCAGCAACUUAGCCAGACCAGAUCUCUAAAUGAAAAAAAUAGAAAGCCUCUAGGAAUGUAGCUCAGUGGUAGAGUAUCCUGGGUUCAAUCUCCAGUACCAAAAAGAAUGAAUAUUAUACAAGUUGAUCUCUUAAGGAAUCUCAAAGUAAACUCUUAAAAAAAAUUAUUUUUUUUAAUGUUUUUAAGGUAUUGGGGAUUGCACGCAGGGGCUCUACCACUGAGCUACACCCCUUGCCCUGAAUUGCUGAUACUUGGCCUCCAACUUGCUGUCCUCCUGCCUCAGACUCUGUAAGGAUUAUAAUGAUGCUUCAUCACUGCACCAUGCAGAGUAAAUACUUUUGAAAAAAAGGAUUUUUAGAUUUUCAUGAAGCCAAAGCAAAUUUUCUGACUCUAAUUUAUUUUAAAACUUAACUACUCAGAAGAAUAUGAUGUCUGAAAAUUGUUGUCUUAGUUAUUUGCCUGCUCUGUGCCAGCUCUAGGUAAACAUGUUCCAUGAGGUUAUGAAACUUCCCCUUCUGUUAUGAUUCCAACAACCCUGUCAGGGCAAACAGGUAACCUAGUCUGUGAAAUGAACUGCAGAGGUAAAGAGCUCCUCUCUCGCUGGGCACAGUGGCACAUGCCUAUAAUCCCAGUGGCUCUGGAAGCCGAGGCAGGAGGAUUGUGAGUUCAAAGCCAGCCUUAGCAAUUUAGCGAGGCCCUAAGCAACUUAAUGAUACCCUAUCUCAAAAUAAAAUAUAAAAAAGAGCUGGUGAUGUGUCUCAGUCCUUAAGCCCCUCUGGGUUUUAUCUCUGGUACAAAAAAUAAAAUAAAAUAAAACAAAACAAAACAAAAAAACACCCAACAAAAACCCCUCCUCUCUCU